UGAACAGUAUACUCUGUACUUGUUCAUUGGUUUGAGGGAGGUGGGAGGGAAGAAAUUGCAAAAGAUGUUGUGCUAGUGUGUACUAGAAAAUUUCAGCUUGUCCGUUGCCCUGUAUGUUAUGUGCAUUUCAUUUAACUUUACUGUAGAUAUUGUGUAUAUAUUGGCCAGUGGGUCCUAAUUUUAUAAUAUCUAGUCUCUAGAUAUUAAAGAGGUUGCCGAUGUAUGACAAAAGUAGAGUUAGUAAACUAACACAUUUUGUACACUUUGUGUUAAAAUUCAUCGAAAGGCCGUCUUCUGAAAAGGACUUUAGAAAUGAAAUUGUAAAAUCACAUCUAAGUGACACAUGUGCCUGUACUCACCCAUUGGGUUGGUGGUAGAGAGGAGGAGUUGGGAGAAAUGAAGGAUUCUAGACUAGAAUGUUCCUAAAUGGAAGACACUUUCAGAUACAAUCAUUGUUACAUGUGUGUGGUUUAUUCAACACUACUGUGUGAAGAGUGGACAAAUAUAAGUCGUUAUUUGAAACAUCUAGUCUUUCUAGAUGUUUAGAAGUGCACAAAGUAUGUUAAAAGUAGAGUUCAAGUAAUACCCUUUAAGUGUUUUUUCAGUUAAUUUGUAGGAAUGGUUGUGUUUUGGGAAUGGGAUUGUUAAACUUGAUGUCUUGGAGAGUAUGCUGACUGUUCACUGGGUGUGGGAGGGGUGGGUAGGGAAGGAAGUGCCCAGAGGAGGGUUCUGUGCCCAUGACUCCUUAGACAAGUUCAGACUGUCUAAUGAUUGUUCUAUAUGUGCAUUUUAGUUAAUAUUGCUAUGUGUUAAAGGAUAAACAAGUCCUAAUGCCCAAACUAUGUUAAAAGUAGAGGUAGUAAAACUUGUAUAAAUGCCCUUGUGUUAGUUUUUUGGAAUGACUGUCUUCUCAGAGUGUCUUUGUUAAUCCACCUCUUGGAGCCGGAUGUGGUCCUAUACUUAGUCAUUGAAGUGGUGGAGGAGGGAGAAGAGGAAGGGUGUAGGGAAGGGCUCUUUGCUAGUAUCUCCAUAUCUAGAAGACAGUUUUAAGUAAUAACUGUAGGUCUAUAAGUGCAUUUUUGUAAAGUACCUGUGUGUAUUGUAGACAGGGUUCAUUAUUUUGCAGCAUCUAAGCUUUUCAGAUGUCUUGAGGUGACAAUGUAUGAUAAAAAGUAGAGCUAGUGAAUUAACCAAUUCGUAAAUAUCUUUUUGUUGUAAUUGAUAGAAAAGAAGCAUCUUGGACAUGGAGUUGUUAAACCAUCGCUGAGAAAUAUACAGCGGGACUUGUUCGUUAGGUUGGCAGCAGAGGGGCAAAAGGAAGUAUGGGGGAGGCAUGUAUGCGGAUGUGUUUGUAUUUACACUUUGGUGAUAGGCAUUGAUCUGUGUGCACCUCUUUUGGCUGUACUAUAGGAAUACAUUGUUAAGUAAUUCAAUGGAAACAUACCUCCUUGCUAAUAAUAGUAUAGAUCGGAUAUCGGGUUCUCUUAGAAGUAUUAUAUUUUGUGUACUGUUGCUUUAUGUCUCAUUUUUAAUUGAACAUUAAGGGAAUGCAGUAUUUUAAUCAUAACGCUGCCAAUAUCUUUAUUUAGAGGGCUGUUGCCAUUUUUGUUGCCAAGAAAGGCAGGAUUACAUUUUUCUUCCAGAUUGAGUUGGUGUAGUGUAUUCUUGGUUAUCAAAAUACUCAUAUAGGUUUGAGGCUUUGAAAUGGUAAAUAUUUGUGAUGUGUGAAAAAGCAUGAUACAUAACUGUAUAACCUUCAUUCGAUAAAAAUAGAUGCUUAGUUGUGUAGAUGAACACACAGGGACC
Non-coding RNA from Ceratotherium simum simum (southern white rhinoceros), 1806 nucleotides. Lineage: Eukaryota; Metazoa; Chordata; Mammalia; Perissodactyla; Rhinocerotidae. The record is from RefSeq and is a predicted model, not a curated record.